Molecule: transfer RNA, 87 nt
Filed under: hydrothermal vent metagenome
Description: tRNA-Leu-CAG
Rfam family: tRNA
About the family: Transfer RNA (tRNA) molecules are approximately 80 nucleotides in length. Their secondary structure includes four short double-helical elements and three loops (D, anti-codon, and T loops). Further hydrogen bonds mediate the characteristic L-shaped molecular structure. tRNAs have two regions of fundamental functional importance: the anti-codon, which is responsible for specific mRNA codon recognition, and the 3' end, to which the tRNAs corresponding amino acid is attached (by aminoacyl-tRNA synthetases). tRNAs cope with the degeneracy of the genetic code in two manners: having more than one tRNA (with a specific anti-codon) for a particular amino acid; and 'wobble' base-pairing, i.e. permitting non-standard base-pairing at the 3rd anti-codon position.
Source: RNAcentral
GCCGAGGUGGCGGAAUGGGUAGACGCGCUAGCUUCAGGUGCUAGUGAGCUUUGGCUCGUGGAGGUUCAAGUCCUCUUCUCGGCACCA